UAAUUCCGGAAAAAAACGAAU
This is a non-coding RNA of Caenorhabditis elegans, 21 nucleotides long. Lineage: Eukaryota; Metazoa; Nematoda; Chromadorea; Rhabditida; Rhabditidae. The record is from Ensembl.